GAUGAAGAACGCAGCGAAAUGCGAUACGUAAUGUGAAUUGCAGAAUUCAGUGAAUCAUCGAGUCUUUGAACGCACAUUGCGCCCUUUGGUAUUCCGAAGGGUAUGCUCGUUUGAGUGUCAUUGUACUCUCACACUUCUAAUUCCUUUCGGGAUUGGGAGCGGUGGACUUGGGUGUUGCUGCUUUAGUUGUGGCUCACCUCAAAUAAGUUAGUGCAACUCUUGGUUGGACAUAGUACGGCGUGAUAAGUGUCUUCGCCGGCGCCUCUGUAAGGAGGGUGGCCGAUCGGGAGCUCUGUGCUUCAAACCGUCUUCGGACAAUCUUUGACAACUUGACCUCAAAUCGAGUAGGACUACCCGCUGAACUUAAGCAUAUCAAUAAGCGGAGGA
This 387-nucleotide unclassified non-coding RNA is filed under the name soil metagenome. Its description in RNAcentral is "partial contains 5.8S ribosomal RNA, internal transcribed spacer 2, and large subunit ribosomal RNA". The stretch from base 1 to 120 matches the Rfam family "5.8S ribosomal RNA", at positions 35 to 154 of the family's 154-position model. The record is from RNAcentral.